Molecule: long non-coding RNA, 2055 nt
Organism: Pipistrellus kuhlii (Kuhl's pipistrelle)
Lineage: Eukaryota; Metazoa; Chordata; Mammalia; Chiroptera; Vespertilionidae
Exons: 2
Source: RefSeq, a predicted model, not a curated record
UUUGGCAUAGUCUCAUGUAGUUCCUAAGCUUACACAGCUUAAGAGUUAAACGAUAAGGGCUAGUCUUGCAAACCUAAGAAGCAUUUCCUUGUUCUGUACUCUGAACAUUUAUUUUGAUAAUGGAAGAAGAGGAGAUUGGGUGGGUGUGAAAGGGCAAAUAUAUGCAAAAAAAAAAAAAAAAAAAAAAAAGCCCUUCACAUGUACCUGGAGUCACAUUUGGGUAGACUUCCUGGUGAGCCCCCGUCUGUAAACAUCACAAACGUGAGUUUAAUGGGAUAGAAUGUCCACUGCAUUGGCUCCUGUUGAGAUUUUAGAAGAAGAAUUGGCUCGAAACUCAGGUUUCCUUUCCAAACGAGGCGACUCACUUUCUUUCCCAAGCCAGGGUCCUGUCAUCUGAGACCAAAAAAAUUACCUUCUCCUUCCCUUUUGUAGUCCCUCAAAGUGGAAGGAGAGUUUUGUAAUCUUCAAAUUAAGUACAACUUAAGUACCUUUGCCAAGUUCACUUUUAAUACCGCUAUUGUGCACACCGAUUGCUAUCAUCCCGCUCUUUCCUGCUAAACAAUGGACUAGUUUCCUCCUCAGUUGUUCGGAGCUGAUUAAUAACAUGUGGGGCUCCACCUAAUUCAUCUUGUCUGGGAGGCCUUCCCUCCCACAUCCCAGCUUGAAUGGAGGAGUCUUUCCCUAGGUAGCAGGUUGCCAUCAUUGCAUCAUGAGCUCAGAGAACUCCUUUAGCACCUGAGAGGUCCUGUUUAGCAGCUCUGGGAAGGUGAUAGCUUAUAAAGGAGAAGUAACGGCACAGCCGACUACUACCUGGAUACUUUCUUCCAUCCUACCUCUGGACCUGAUCAUCUGUCUUCACUCAGGGCCUUCAUACCACCUCUGUGAAACCCUCCCCAGCUCUUUCUGCUGGUGUGAGAAAUGCCAUUAUUUUGGUUCUCAUUGUGCUACGCAGGUACCUCUGCUCAGGUAGUACUAACCCUGCUGGGUUGGAAUGAUGUGACAGCAUGUCUUCAUCUUUUUUCCAGACUGAACUUAUUUCCCUGGAUAUCUUAAGCACUAUGCCCAUAGAAAUAGGGGCCUCAGAGAUUAACCAUGCUUCUCUUGUCCUUUCAAAGAUUUCUCACAAGAUAAUUCUAUAGAGUAUAAAUCAGGGAUGGUACUAUGUUUAUAUUUUUGGUUCUCUGCUCUAAGAUAGAUAUAUCAGGUUACCUGUCUCCAGAGUCUUGAGAGAGUUGUAUGUUUUCAAACUGAUUUUCGUGAUGUAAAUUGCGACAAAGCAACCAAUAUGUGUAAAGAUGUAUUAUGGAAUUUAAAAUCACCUCUAAAGUAAUUUGUUUGUUUCUCUGAGAGUAACUGCAUCUGAACCAGGGGUGGAGAACAUCUGGCCUGUGGCCUUAUAAGGGCAGCAAAAUUAUUUGGUCUGGCCCUGCCAAGGCAUUAGGGUGAGUUCAUUAAAUGUUUGCCCAGAUGUAGCAGGCCAAUUUUUAAGUUGAUAAUUUUAAAUGGCCCUCAAAUGAUGUUAUAAAUAUCCAAAUGGUCUUGGCAGAAGAAAAAGUUCUUUACUGCUAACCUAAAUGUUGGUUUUGAUUAUGGAAGAAGAGAAAAUUUUGUGGGUAUGAAACUGAAAAUAUAUGUGUUAAAAGGGCCAGCUAACAUGGCUCAGUGGUUGAGCAUUGAGCUAUGAAUCAGAAGAUUAUGGUUCAAUUCCUGGUCAGGGCACAUACCCGGGUUGUUGGCUCGAUCCCCAGUAUGGGGCAUGCAGGAGGCAGCCAAUCAAUGAUUCUUUCUCAUCAUUGAUGUUUCCAUCUCUGUCUCCCUCUCCAUACUUCUCUGCAAUCAAUAAAAAUAUAUUUAAAAAAGAGAGAGAGCGAGCGAGUGCACAUGGUAAUGUACUACUUAGCAUUCUCUGUUGUAAUUGCCCGUUUGUCAUCUCCCCGGUCUUUAAACUCCAUGAUGGCAGAGGUCAACUCUGUAUUACUGACCAUUUUAUUCCCUCUGUAUAGUACAAUAUAUGGAAAUAAUAGAGCUUCAAUAAAUAUAUAUUUGUAAAAUCAA